This is a non-coding RNA of Acyrthosiphon pisum (pea aphid), 99 nucleotides long. RefSeq annotates it as microRNA mir-100. NCBI's taxonomy places the organism in Eukaryota, Metazoa, Arthropoda, Insecta, Hemiptera, Aphididae. The record is from RefSeq and is marked provisional. The transcript has a single exon.
UGUGAAAACUGAGUUGCUACGACCCGUAGAUCCGAACUUGUGUCGCAAAGUUUAGUAUCACAAGUUCGUUUCUAGAGGAUACAGCCACUCAGUGCACUC